GGCUACGUAGUUCAACUGGAUAGAAUAUCNNGGGUUGAGGGUUCGAAUCCUUCCGUGGUCACAA
RNAcentral lists this transfer RNA (64 nucleotides) under Saprospirales bacterium. Its description in RNAcentral is "tRNA-Ser". It matches the Rfam family "tRNA". From Rfam's summary of the family: Transfer RNA (tRNA) molecules are approximately 80 nucleotides in length. Their secondary structure includes four short double-helical elements and three loops (D, anti-codon, and T loops). Lineage: Bacteria; Pseudomonadati; Bacteroidota; Saprospiria; Saprospirales. The record is from RNAcentral.